GAGGAGCACACGAAGAGCAGCUCCAGUAUGUCCCCUUUGAUGGAGGAAAUGCCAGAGUCUGUUGUGGGAAAGAAAGCUGCAUCCAAGUUCCUGCCCAUCUCUGCCACGCCCCAACCAGAGAAGCAUCACCCUGUUCAGAGACGACACUCCAUGGAAAAAAGACGCUCCAACAAGUGUCCGAACCAUUCUUGCCGCCAUCCAAACAGACCUCCAAGUCUCUGGAGGAGUUUUGUUACCCUGUGGAGUGUUUGACUCUGACUGUGGAGGAAGUGAUGCACAUUCCGGAAAGGUGCUCGUCAAGGCUGAGCUGGAAGAAGUUCAGCAGUACAAAGAGUCUACACGCUUUGAAGAAAGGAAAGAGGUAGGAUACUAUGAGAGCGUCUGUUCCCUCUCUAUGUGCAGCUCUAUUAUAUUAUAUAAUAUUAUACGUUUCUCCUCCUGUCCUGCCCGUAGCUUUGUUUUUCAUGUCGGACCAAAAGGUUCAUCUUUGUUCACUUGGGCCUACACCUGCCAGUUCUGCAAAAGACGGGUGUGUUCACAGUGUUCAACAAAGGUACGCAGCUGCUCCACCCUUUGA
Molecule: long non-coding RNA, 577 nt
Filed under: Gouania willdenowi (blunt-snouted clingfish)
Lineage: Eukaryota; Metazoa; Chordata; Actinopteri; Blenniiformes; Gobiesocidae
Description: lncRNA (ENSGWIG00000005309.1)
Source: RNAcentral